GAUGAACGCUGGCGGCGUGCCUAAUACAUGCAAGUCGAGCGAACAGACGAGGAGCUUGCUCCUCUGACGUUAGCGGCUGACGGGUGAGUAACACGUGGAUAACCUACCUAUAAUACUGGGAUAACUUCGGGAAACCGGAUCUAAUACCGGAUAAUAUAUUGAACCGCAUGGUUCAAUAGUGAAAGACGGUUUUGCUGUCACUUAUAGAUGGAUCCGCGCCGCAUUAGCUAGUUGGUAAGGUAACGGCUUACCAAGGCAACGAUGCGUAGCCGACCUGAGAGGGUGAUCGGCCACACUGGAACUGAGACACGGUCCAGACUCCUACGGGAGGCAGCAGUAGGGAAUCUUCCGCAAUGGGCGAAAGCCUGACGGAGCAACGCCGCGUGAGUGAUGAAGGUCUUCGGAUCGUAAAACUCUGUUAUUAGGGAAGAACAAAUGUGUAAGUAAAUAUGCACGUCUUGACGGUACCUAAUCAGAAAGCCACGGCUAACUACGUG
This 497-nucleotide ribosomal RNA is filed under the name uncultured bacterium. RNAcentral's name for it is "partial 16S ribosomal RNA". It matches the Rfam family "Bacterial small subunit ribosomal RNA", at positions 28 to 507 of the family's 1533-position model. The record is from RNAcentral.